GGACCGGUAGCUCAGCCGGUAGAGCGGCGGGUUGAAGACCCGCGCGGCGGUGGUUCGAUUCCAUCCCGGUCCACCA
Molecule: transfer RNA, 76 nt
Filed under: Gammaproteobacteria bacterium
Lineage: Bacteria; Pseudomonadati; Pseudomonadota; Gammaproteobacteria
Also listed under: 1 other name
Description: tRNA-Phe
Rfam family: tRNA
About the family: Transfer RNA (tRNA) molecules are approximately 80 nucleotides in length.
Source: RNAcentral